This 253-nucleotide ribosomal RNA is filed under the name uncultured prokaryote. RNAcentral describes it as "partial 16S ribosomal RNA". It matches the Rfam family "Bacterial small subunit ribosomal RNA", at positions 525 to 777 of the family's 1533-position model. The record is from RNAcentral.
ACGAAGGGUGCAAGCGUUACUCGGAAUUACUGGGCGUAAAGCGUGCGUAGGUGGUUUGUUAAGUCUGAUGUGAAAGCCCUGGGCUCAACCUGGGAACGGCAUUGGAUACUGGCUUACUAGAGUGCGGUAGAGGGUAGUGGAAUUCCCGGUGUAGCAGUGAAAUGCGUAGAUAUCUGGAGGAACACCGGUGGCGAAAGCGGCUCACUGGACCGUCACUGACGCUGAGGUGCGAAAGCUAGGGUAGCAAACGGGA